AUUUAAGGGGGAGACCCCUUCUCCCUUCUUCCCACCAAGGAAUCCAGAGAGAAACGAUGAGAAUCAUCGAAAUUUGCUCGCGGAAGCCAUCACCGUGCUCACCUUCUCGUCGGAGACAUCACCGGAGCUCGAGGUAAGCUCUGAUUUCUCUUCCUCUCUCCUUCCCUUUCCUUCUCAUGCCAGUGUGCAUGAUCGCCGG
This 199-nucleotide long non-coding RNA is filed under the name Elaeis guineensis (African oil palm). RNAcentral describes it as "long non-coding RNA (EGUI_LNC017496)". Lineage: Eukaryota; Viridiplantae; Streptophyta; Magnoliopsida; Arecales; Arecaceae. The record is from RNAcentral.